CCCCCUCCAGCCGUCUCAACCUCUCUCGCCUUGAGGACGGCGUCAUGACCCGACGGGAUCUUUGGGCUCAUCAGCCUGAACGCCUGGAAUCUCGUCCCAACGCUGCCGCCAAGGAGUCCCGAGGGCAUGACUGCGUCUGGUUCGGACCUCAGAUGGCGGGCAGCUAUCUCGACUUUGAGAUAUGGUUGUACAAACAUAUAAGCCGAUGACGGCGACGACCGGACAACCAGAUAUCAUCAACACAAAACCACCUAACUGGUCGAAUUACUAUACUACGUGCAUAUCUACACUCAGGCCAGCCGAAAGAGAUGCCAAGAGGCGCAGAUUGUAUUGCGAUGUGUGGACGAGCUCCCGUCGUGUCACCAACGCCAGAUGCAUGGCCAUCUGAGCUACACCUCAACGUACGGCUCCUCGUCCACCAUUUACGCUCCUGUUCGUCAGCCCAGUAGCCAGUUGCAGUCGAAUACAAGAUGAAAGAUGUAGUGUACAGGAAGGGUGCCAAUGCUGUUUGGCUGCGUCACGGCGGCAGUGACGCUGGUUGAUGGUCACGGCGCCCAAACAGGGGUCGAGGCCAGGUAUGUCGAUGGCUGCUGCGAGGCACACAAGUCGAAAAGC
Molecule: non-coding RNA, 615 nt
Organism: Neurospora crassa OR74A
Lineage: Eukaryota; Fungi; Ascomycota; Sordariomycetes; Sordariales; Sordariaceae
Source: RefSeq, a predicted model, not a curated record